ACAUAUCAAUUAGAUAUUUGCUAUAGUAAAAUAUUUUUACUCAGAGAUGUGCUCAUUAGGAUAUGACAUGCAUCCGACGAAGUAGGUAUUCACCCACGAAAGCUCAUGCUCCAAAAGUCUAUGAAGUGCAACAGGACUCUUUGCUGCUUUUACAGAUCCAGAUUAACAUGGUUACCCCUCUGAUAUUCAUUAGGAUAAAAUACAAAGUGUGAAUACAAUAUUCACAUAGAAUCUGACAAGCCCAACUGUCAUGCCCAAUGUAAGUAUUUAAAUAUAUUCAAACAAGACUAUGAAAAUAAACCAUUAGCUGAAAUUUCCAAAGUGAAACUGUUGUGCUGCAAAGUUUAAAAUUUAACAGUAAUCAGUCAAUGGUGAAGUAAUAGAACACUGACCUAGUAUGUAUACACCAUAGGAUACACACACGCUUUAAUAGGGCCAAUUUCUCAAAGUUUAACACAACUAUGGUCACAAGUGAGUGGGAGGAAAAAUUUAAACAAUACAAAUGUGAACUAUAUUUAGGAGUUGUUUAAGAAAACGUGACAAGAUGCCCCCCAAUUCCAGUGUCAAUAAAGAAUGGAUUCUUUGGUUAAAAAAAAAAAUCCUAAUUAAGAAAGAGAAAUGCAAGCAGCAAUAAAAAAAAAUCAUAAAUCAACAGAAAGGGGAAGUCAACAAGAAAGACUAAAAAUUAUCAGUUAUUAAAUACAGGCAAUUGACAGGAAAAGCUAAAAGUAUAAAUGAAAAAAAAGCUACCACCAGUAGGAUUAACAAGAAGUAGUAAUUUUGUAAAUAUCAGGAACAUAAGAAAACCUAGCACUGGUAUCAGUCAGCUAUCCAACAGAGAUGGAAAAGCUGUUGAUAAAGAAGAGGCAGAUGUAGUCAGUACAUUUCUGCUCUGCAUUUGGAAAGAAGCCAGAUGAUGUAUUCACAGCUUACACUGAUAAUGAAAUACUUUCUAUUGAAAAAUGUGACUAGGGAGGGUGUUAAACAGUAUCUUGCAUCCAGGAGGAGGUUUAAAAAUACUGGCUGAUAAGCUCUGGCCCACUGAUAUUGAUAUUUAAGGUAUCUUGGUGUACUGGGAGAGUUCCACAAGACUGAAAAGAGCUGGCGUGCCAACAUUUAGAAAAGGAUCUAAGGAAACCUAAAGAAUGAAUUUGUGCUAAAAGCACCAGUUACUUACCUUCAAUGGAAUAUUAUAUCCAUAGUUGGAUCUAAAGUUAGAAGCUUCUUCUCUAGCUAUGUCUGCCAAAGAACGAGCAUCUGCCAGGAGUCCUGCUACUGCCUGAAAUGAAGAGCAUCACCGGCUAAAGUCAACACUCAGAUAAAUUACCCUAUUUCUUGCAAGGUAAUUGACAAACUUUAGACAACGUCUAAUUCUGUUACUGUGACUUAAACAGGUUUUUAAUGCACCAUACAUCUGCCCUUUCAAAACUGACCAAACCAGACUUUACACCUGUCAACAAGCUGAAAAAAACUUUUUAAAAUUAUUCAAACACACACAUAAUUGAUGUGUUAUUGUAAACCGCAUAAAAUAAAGGUAUACUUUUAA
This is a long non-coding RNA of Gopherus flavomarginatus (Mexican gopher tortoise), 1546 nucleotides long. RefSeq lists it as uncharacterized. The record is from RefSeq and is a predicted model, not a curated record. The transcript is spliced from 2 exons. Lineage: Eukaryota; Metazoa; Chordata; Testudines; Testudinidae.